Non-coding RNA from Tinamus guttatus (white-throated tinamou), 73 nucleotides. The record is from Rfam. Lineage: Eukaryota; Metazoa; Chordata; Aves; Tinamiformes; Tinamidae.
GCCUGGAUAGCUCAGUUGGGAGAGCAUCAGACUUUUAAUCUGAGGGUCCAGGGUUCAAGCCCCUGUUCAGGUG